UUUUUUUUUUUUUUUUUUUUUUAGACGGAGUCUGGCUCUGUCACCCAGGCUGGAGUGCAGUGGCCGGAUCUCAGCUCACUGCAAGCUCCACCUCGCGGGUUCACGCCAUUCUCCUGCCUCAGCCUCCCGAGUAGCUGGGACUACAGGCGCCGGCCACCUCGCCCGGCUGUUUUUUGUUUUUUUUUUAGUAGAGACGGGGUUUCACCGUGUUAGCCAGGAUGGUCUCGGUCUCCUGACCUCGUGAUCCGCCUGUCUCGGCCUCCCAAAGUGCUGGGAUUACAGGCUUGAGCCACCACGCCCGGCACUAAACAGUUCUUAACCACUUUAAGGGAGGAGUAGUAUAUUUCAGAGAAGUCAAAAUCUAGGCUCUAUCCCUUACUAGUGUGUGACCUUAGACAAACUGUGUGCUUCAGCCUCUAUGAUUACAUUUCUUUAUCUGUUCAAUGAGAAGAAGAAUAACAGCUAACUCCUGGAGUUAUUAUCAGGAAUAAAUAAGAUAUGAAUGUAAAGUGCUUAUAGCUCAGUGUUUGGCAUACAAAACACUCAUAGUUGUUACUGUUUUUCUUGCUAUAUUUUCAAAUAAAAUAUUUGUUUGUGUUCAGGUCUAUUGGUGGUAGGUCACUCUAGCGCUCUCUUAUUUUAGCCAAAUUAAUAUAAUUUCAAAUUCUCCUUGGAACUUUAAGCAAACCAAGAAAUCCAUUUUAUGUCAAGAAAUCAAGCUGUCACUUCUGUCCAUUUGUACACUUUUUUUUUUUUUAAUUGAGCAACUACCAUGUGCAAGGCUCUGGGCUAGGUAUUGGGGACACAGGGAUGAAAAUGACACAGUCCCUGUGCUCAAGGUGCUUAGAGUCCAGUGGGGCUUAGAGUCCAGUGGGCUGUCCUGUCAUUCUCAAUCUCAAAAGACAGUCCUCGGCCCAUGAAAAACUGAUCACAUUCAUUGUAUUUAUGGGGUAAAGUGUAGGCAGUGGCAGAAUAACUGAUUUGUAGGCUGGAGAGGUGGAGCAAAUCACACCUCAGGUGUUCUCAAACUUUUUGGUCUCAGGAUCCUUUUACAUUCUUAAAAGGUAUUAAGGAUCCUAACAAGGUUUUAAAAAUAUGCAUUAUAGCUAUUGUUAAUUGUGUUUGAAAUUAAAGCAGAGAAAUGUGGAAAAUAUUUGUUUAAAAUUAAGAAUAAACAUGCUAACAUAAAUAACAUUUUUGGAAAAAUAAUUAUAUGGUUAUGGUAUAGAAUAGAUGAUUACUUCCUGAGUUUUGACUUACCUUUGGAGAAGGAGAAAGUGAAAAUGAGCUAUUCCACGAUGGAGAAUAGGUUCUUACAAUAGUGGUUUAAGAAUGCUCAUCUAUGACGCAUGGUUCAGUCAGACAUAUGUCCAUGUGUGGCUUAGGAUCUUGAGGCCAUCAACUUUAUCCCAAACUCCCUCUGCCCCCUUUUCUCUGCCCUUGAGAACUGCCUGUCCAAGGAUGUUCCUCGUUGAUAAAGUUUGUAUGUUGUGCAACGGGGAAAGGACUGCUUGGAAACUCUGACGUUUGGGUUCUCCAGCCAAAGACCUUGGAUAGGCAUCAUUAGGAGCAAUAAAUAAACGCAGCAUCAGGACAGAGAGAGUGUGGACUUGCACCAUCAGGAACAAAAGAGGAAUUAACUUCCUGAAACUGCACUUGUUUGUUUGUUUUUCAGAUGGGGUCUCGCUCUGUUGCUCUGGUUGGAGUAUGGUGGCACAAUCACGGAUCACUGCAGCCUCGACCUCCCCAGGCUCAGGUGAUCCUCCCACCUCAGUCUUCCGAGUACUAGGACUACAGGCACAUGCCACCAUGCCCAGCUAAUUGUUGUAUUUUUAUUUUUAUUUUUUAUAGAGAUGGGGUCUCACUGUGUCACCCAGGCUGGUCUAGAACUCCUGCCCUCAAGCCAAAUCUCCUUUCUGAAAUAUAUUUUCUUCUAUAUUUCCUAAUGUCUAUGUAGAGUAUCAUCGUUUUCUCAGCCACCAAGGACAGAAAAUGUGGUCAUCUUUGAUUUUUUUUUGGUUCUCCUCUAUCUGCCAAUUCUGCUUUAACAAAAAGCCCAAACUCAGCAAGGUAGAAACAAGUAAUGAUUUUGCAGCUCACCUAUCACUGUUUUCAAUUGUGUGCUGUUGAAUUUCCUUUCUCUGUUCCUUAAUAUGUGUUCAGCAGAUCACAGAGCUUGUAGUUACUUUCUGUAGCCCAGAUUAAGAUUCAUGUCCGUUUAUUUAAAAGUCUAGUCCAGGUAAAAUAAAAUCUUUACUUUUGUUUCCAAUUCAAAGCACGUGACCUUAUUCCAUUGUGCAGGUUCCCUCAGAUCUGCAGUGACCUGAAUUGGAGGCCCAUCCCAGGUCAGGGGUCCCCC
Molecule: long non-coding RNA, 2359 nt
Filed under: Macaca fascicularis (crab-eating macaque)
Lineage: Eukaryota; Metazoa; Chordata; Mammalia; Primates; Cercopithecidae
Description: lncRNA (ENSMFAG00000061295.1)
Source: RNAcentral